GUUGGCCAGUAGCUAGAAACAACUCUGUUAGCUAGGGGCAAGAACCAGAACUAUGUUGGCCAGGAGCAAGAAACAGAACUAUGUUGGCUAGGAGCUAGAAACAGAACUAGGUUGGCCAGGAGCGAUAAACAGAACUAGGUUGGCCAGGAGCUAGAAACAGAACUAGGUUGGCCAGGAGCUAGAAACAGAACUAGGUUGGCUAGUUGUCCAGGAGCUAUAAACAGAACUAGGUUGGCUAGUUGGCCAGGAGCUAGAAACAGAACUAGGUUGGCCAGGAGCUAGAAACAGAACUAGGUUGGCCAGGAGCUCGAAACAGAACUAGGUUUGCCAGUAGCUAGAAACAGCACUAGGUUGGCCAGGAGCUAGAAACAGAACUAGGUUGGCUAGGGGCUAGAAACAGAACUAGGUUGGCUAGGGGCUAGAAACAGAACUAGGUUGGCUAGUUGGUCAGGAGCUAGAAACAGAACUAGGUUGGCAAGUUGGCCAGGAGCUAGAAACAUAACUAGGUUGGCCAGGAGCUAGAAACAGAACUAGGUUGGCCAGGAGCAAGAAACAGAACUAGGAUGGCCAGGAGCUAGAAACAGAACUAGGUUGGCCAGGAGCUAGAAACAGACCUAGGUUGGCUAGGGGCUAGAAACAGAACUAGGUUGGCUAGGGGCUAGAAACAGAACUAGGUUGGCUAGGGGCUAGAAACAGAACUAGGUUGGCUAGUUUGUCAGGAGCUAGAAACAGAACUAGGUUGGCUAGUUGGCCAGGAGCUACAAACAGAACUAGGUUGGCUAGGAGCUAGAAAAAGAGCUAUGUUGGCCAGGAGCUAGAAACAACUCUGUUAGCCAGGGGCAAGAACCAGAACUAUGUUGGCCAGGAACAAGAAACAGAAGUAGGUUGGCUAGGAGCUAGAAACAGACCUAGGUUGGCUAGGAGCUAGAAACACAACUAGGUUGGCUAGGAGCUAGAAACAGAACUAUGUUGGCUAGGAGCUAGAACAAGAGGUAGGUUGGCUAGGAGCUAGAA
RNAcentral lists this long non-coding RNA (1014 nucleotides) under Salmo salar (Atlantic salmon). RNAcentral describes it as "lncRNA (ENSSSAG00000097754.1)". The record is from RNAcentral. Lineage: Eukaryota; Metazoa; Chordata; Actinopteri; Salmoniformes; Salmonidae.